RNAcentral lists this ribosomal RNA (418 nucleotides) under Vibrio campbellii. Its description in RNAcentral is "bacterial SSU rRNA". It matches the Rfam family "Bacterial small subunit ribosomal RNA", at positions 97 to 511 of the family's 1533-position model. The record is from RNAcentral. Lineage: Bacteria; Pseudomonadati; Pseudomonadota; Gammaproteobacteria; Vibrionales; Vibrionaceae.
GGCGGACGGGUGAGUAAUGCCUAGGAAAUUGCCCUGAUGUGGGGGAUAACCAUUGGAAACGAUGGCUAAUACCGCAUAAUGCCUACGGGCCAAAGAGGGGGACCUUCGGGCCUCUCGCGUCAGGAUAUGCCUAGGUGGGAUUAGCUAGUUGGUGAGGUAAGGGCUCACCAAGGCGACGAUCCCUAGCUGGUCUGAGAGGAUGAUCAGCCACACUGGAACUGAGACACGGUCCAGACUCCUACGGGAGGCAGCAGUGGGGAAUAUUGCACAAUGGGCGCAAGCCUGAUGCAGCCAUGCCGCGUGUGUGAAGAAGGCCUUCGGGUUGUAAAGCACUUUCAGUCGUGAGGAAGGUAGUGUAGUUAAUAGCUGCAUUAUUUGACGUUAGCGACAGAAUAAGCACCGGCUAACUCCGUGCCAG